RNAcentral lists this ribosomal RNA (464 nucleotides) under uncultured Klebsiella sp. RNAcentral's name for it is "bacterial SSU rRNA". It matches the Rfam family "Bacterial small subunit ribosomal RNA", at positions 338 to 795 of the family's 1533-position model. The record is from RNAcentral. Lineage: Bacteria; Pseudomonadati; Pseudomonadota; Gammaproteobacteria; Enterobacterales; Enterobacteriaceae.
CCUACGGGGGGCAGCAGUGGGGAAUAUUGCACAAUGGGCGCAAGCCUGAUGCAGCCAUGCCGCGUGUGUGAAGAAGGCCUUCGGGUUGUAAAGCACUUUCAGCGGGGAGGAAGGCGGUGAGGUUAAUAACCUCAUCGAUUGACGUUACCCGCAGAAGAAGCACCGGCUAACUCCGUGCCAGCAGCCGCGGUAAUACGGAGGGUGCAAGCGUUAAUCGGAAUUACUGGGCGUAAAGCGCACGCAGGCGGUCUGUCAAGUCGGAUGUGAAAUCCCCGGGCUCAACCUGGGAACUGCAUUCGAACUGGCAGGCUAGAGUCUUGUAGAGGGGGGUAGAAUUCCAGGUGUAGCGGUGAAAUGCGUAGAGAUCUGGAGGAAUACCGAUGGCGAAGGCAGCCCCCUGGACAAAGACUGACGCUCAGGUGCGAAAGCGUGGGGAGCAAACAGGAUUAGAUACCCCAGUAGUC